UGGGGAAUAUUGGACAAUGGGCGCAAGCCUGAUCCAGCCAUGCCGCGUGAGUGAUGAAGGCCUUAGGGUUGUAAAGCUCUUUCGCCGACGAAGAUAAUGACGGUAGUCGGAGAAGAAGCCCCGGCUAACUUCGUGCCAGCAGCCGCGGUAAUACGAAGGGGGCUAGCGUUGUUCGGAAUCACUGGGCGUAAAGCGCACGUAGGCGGAUUGUUAAGUCAGGGGUGAAAGCCUGGAGCUCAACUCCAGAACUGCCCUUGAUACUGGCAAUCUCGAGUCCGGAAGAGGUAAGUGGAACUGCGAGUGUAGAGGUGAAAUUCGUAGAUAUUCGCAAGAACACCAGUGGCGAAGGCGGCUUACUGGUCCGGUACUGACGCUGAGGUGCGAAAAGCGUGGGGAGCAAAACAGGAUUAGAUACCCUGGUAGUCCACGCCGUAAAACGAUGGAGGCUAGCCGUUGGCGAGCAUGCUCGUCAGUGGCGCAGCUAACGCAUUAAGCCUCCCGCCUGGGGAGUACGGUCGCAAGAUUAAAAACUCAAAAUGAAUUGACGGGGUCAUAGCUGUUUCCU
This 565-nucleotide ribosomal RNA is filed under the name uncultured bacterium. RNAcentral describes it as "partial 16S ribosomal RNA". It matches the Rfam family "Bacterial small subunit ribosomal RNA", at positions 355 to 1375 of the family's 1533-position model. The record is from RNAcentral.